Molecule: transfer RNA, 65 nt
Filed under: Melipona fasciculata
Lineage: Eukaryota; Metazoa; Arthropoda; Insecta; Hymenoptera; Apidae
Description: tRNA-Trp
Source: RNAcentral
AUAAAAUUUUAAGUUAAAUAAACUAUUAAUCUUCAAAAUUAAAUAUAUAUAAAUAAUAUAAAUUU